UACGGAGGGUGCAAGCGUUAAUCGGAAUUACUGGGCGUAAAGCGCACGCAGGUGGCUGAGUCAGUCGAUUGUGAAAGCCCAGAGCUCAACUCUGGAAUUGCCUUUGAAACUAGAGAACUUGGGUACGGGAGAGGUGAGUGGAAUUCCGAGUGUAGAGGUGAAAUUCGUAGAUAUUCGGAAGAACACCAGUGGCGAAGGCGGCUCACUGGCCCGUUACCGACGCUCAGGCGCGACAGCGUGGGGAGCAAACAGG
This 253-nucleotide ribosomal RNA is filed under the name uncultured bacterium. RNAcentral's name for it is "partial 16S ribosomal RNA". It matches the Rfam family "Bacterial small subunit ribosomal RNA", at positions 524 to 776 of the family's 1533-position model. The record is from RNAcentral.